UACGUAGGGUGCAAGCGUUAAUCGGAAUUACUGGGCGUAAAGCGUGCGCAGGCGGUUCUAUAAGACAGAUGUGAAAUCCCCGGGCUCAACCUGGGAACUGCAUUUGUGACUGUAGAGCUGGAGUGCGGCAGAGGGGGAUGGAAUUCCGCGUGUAGCAGUGAAAUGCGUAGAUAUGCGGAGGAACACCGAUGGCGAAGGCGAUCCCCUGGGCCUGCACUGACGCUCAUGCACGAAAUCGUGGGGAGCAAACGGG
RNAcentral lists this ribosomal RNA (253 nucleotides) under uncultured bacterium. Its description in RNAcentral is "partial 16S ribosomal RNA". It matches the Rfam family "Bacterial small subunit ribosomal RNA", at positions 524 to 776 of the family's 1533-position model. The record is from RNAcentral.